This is a long non-coding RNA of Eptesicus fuscus (big brown bat), 392 nucleotides long. RefSeq lists it as uncharacterized. Lineage: Eukaryota; Metazoa; Chordata; Mammalia; Chiroptera; Vespertilionidae. The record is from RefSeq and is a predicted model, not a curated record. The transcript is spliced from 3 exons.
GGCAGGGGAACCACACAACUAUACAAGUCAGGAGGAAGCACUAAAGACAAAUUAUAUUAUUUAAGAAGGAAAAAAAAAUCAUCCAUUCCCACUAAAACUCAAAUAUCUUUCAAAAGAGAACAGAUGUUUAUCUUCUUAAAAUGGUGCUAAGCAGAGAAGGACUCUCUCACCAGAGGAGCAAUACCAGAGAGCUCUGAGUGAAGAUCAGACCUUUCCUCCAUAGCACUAGGGGGCAGAGGAAAAUGAGCUGGAGUCUGCAGACUUGUCAGGGUGAACAAGAAUCCCCUACACUGCCACGUUGUUAUUCAUAUGGCACAGCCCAGCAAAUGUUCACAUAUAUGCCUACCUCCCAUAUUGCUAUUUGUGGGAAAUGUGGCCGUGAGAAGGAGGGA